RNAcentral lists this ribosomal RNA (586 nucleotides) under uncultured bacterium. RNAcentral's name for it is "partial 16S ribosomal RNA". It matches the Rfam family "Bacterial small subunit ribosomal RNA", at positions 355 to 1375 of the family's 1533-position model. The record is from RNAcentral.
UGGGGAAUUUUGGACAAUGGGCGAAAGCCUGAUCCAGCAAUGCCGCGUGUGUGAAGAAGGCCUUCGGGUUGUAAAGCACUUUUGUCCGGAAAGAAAUCCUUGGCUCUAAUACAGUCGGGGGAUGACGGUACCGGAAGAAUAAGCACCGGCUAACUACGUGCCAGCAGCCGCGGUAAUACGUAGGGUGCAAGCGUUAAUCGGAAUUACUGGGCGUAAAGCGUGCGCAGGCGGUUUGCUAAGACCGAUGUGAAAUCCCCGGGCUCAACCUGGGAACUGCAUUGGUGACUGGCAGGCUAGAGUAUGGCAGAGGGGGGUAGAAUUCCACGUGUAGCAGUGAAAUGCGUAGAGAUGUGGAGGAAUACCGAUGGCGAAGGCAGCCCCCUGGGCCAAUAUUGACGCUCAUGCACGAAAGCGUGGGGAGCAAACAGGAUUAGAUACCCUGGUAGUCCACGCCCUAAAACGAUGUCAACUAGUUGUUGGGGAUUCAUUUCCUUAGUAACGUAGCUAACGCGUGAAGUUGACCGCCUGGGGAGUACGGUCGCAAGAUUAAAACUCAAAGGAAUUGACGGGGUCAUAGCUGUUUCCU